AUUUAAAUAGUUUAAUAUUAAAAUUCUAAUUUGUGGAGUUAGAGAUGUAUAGUUGUAUUUUAAAUA
Molecule: transfer RNA, 66 nt
Filed under: Chirotenon longimanus
Lineage: Eukaryota; Metazoa; Arthropoda; Insecta; Coleoptera; Anthribidae
Description: tRNA-His
Source: RNAcentral